GAUGAACGCUGGCGGCGUGCCUAAUACAUGCAAGUCGAGCGAACAGACGAGGAGCUUGCUCCUCUGAUGUUAGCGGCGGACGGGUGAGUAACACGUGGAUAACCUACCUAUAAGACUGGGAUAACUUCGGGAAACCGGAGCUAAUACCGGAUAACAUGUUGAACCGCAUGGUUCAACAGUGAAAGACGGUCUUGCUGUCACUUAUAGAUGGAUCCGCGCCGCAUUAGCUAGUUGGUAAGGUAACGGCUUACCAAGGCAACGAUGCGUAGCCGACCUGAGAGGGUGAUCGGCCACACUGGAACUGAGACACGGUCCAGACUCCUACGGGAGGCAGCAGUAGGGAAUCUUCCGCAAUGUGCGAAAGCCUGACGGAGCAACGCCGCGUGAGUGAAGAAGGUCUUCGGAUCGUAAAACUCUGUUAUUAGGGAAGAACAAAUGUGUAAGUAACUAUGCACGUCUUGACGGUACCUAAUCAGAAAGCCACGGCUAACUACGUG
Molecule: ribosomal RNA, 497 nt
Filed under: uncultured bacterium
Lineage: Bacteria
Description: partial 16S ribosomal RNA
Rfam family: Bacterial small subunit ribosomal RNA
Source: RNAcentral